This 462-nucleotide ribosomal RNA is filed under the name uncultured bacterium. RNAcentral describes it as "partial 16S ribosomal RNA". It matches the Rfam family "Bacterial small subunit ribosomal RNA", at positions 28 to 507 of the family's 1533-position model. The record is from RNAcentral.
GACGAACGCUGGCGGCGUGCUUAACACAUGCAAGUCGAACGGAAAGGCCCUUCGGGGUACUCGAGUGGCGAACGGGUGAGUAACACGUGGGUGAUCUGCCCUGCACUUUGGGAUAAGCCUGGGAAACUGGGUCUAAUACCGAAUAGGACCACGCGCUUCAUGGUGUGUGGGGGCAAGCUUUUGCGGUGUGGGAUGGGCCCGAGGCCUAUCAGCUUGUUGGUGGGGUAAUGGCCUACCAAGGCGACGACGGGUAGCCGGCCUGAGAGGGGGACCGGCCACACUGGGACUGAGAUAGGGCCCAGACUCGUACGGGAGGCAGCAGGGGGGAAUAUUGCACAAUGGGCGCAAGCCUGAUGCAGCGACGCCGCGUGAGGGAUGACGGCCUUCGGGUUGUAAACCUCUUUCAAUAGGGACGAAGCGCAAGUGACGGUACCUAUAGAAGAAGCACCGGCCAACUACGUA